GCGGUAGCGGGAAGAGCUUGCUCUUUGCCGACGAGCGGCGGACGGGUGCGUAACACGUAGGAAUCUGCCUGGUAGUGGGGGAUAGCCCGGAGAAAUCCGGAUUAAUACCGCAUACGCCCUACGGGGGAAAGGAGGGGAUCUUCGGACCUUUCGCUAUCAGAUGAGCCUGCGUCGGAUUAGCUGGUUGGUGGGGUAAAGGCCUACCAAGGCGACGAUCCGUAGCUGGUCUGAGAGGAUGAUCAGCCACACUGGGACUGAGACACGGCCCAGACUCCUACGGGAGGCAGCGGUGGGGAAUAUUGCACAAUGGGCGAAAGCCUGAUGCAGCCAUGCCGCGUGUGUGAAGAAGGCCCUAGGGUUGUAAAGCACUUUCAGUGGGGAGGAAAGGUUGAAGGUUAAUACCCUUCAGCUGUGACGUUACCCACAGAAGAAGCACCGGCUAACUCCGUGCCAGCAGCCGCGGUAAUACGGAGGGUGCGAGCGUUAAUCGGAAUUACUGGGCGUAAAGCGUGCGUAGGCGGCUACCUAAGUUGGAUGUGAAAGCCCCGGGCUCAACCUGGGAACUGCAUCCAAAACUGGGUGGCUAGAGUACGGGAGAGGAGUGUGGAAUUUCCUGUGUAGCGGUGAAAUGCGUAGAUAUAGGAAGGAACACCAGUGGCGAAGGCGACACUCUGGCCUGAUACUGACGCUGAGGUACGAAAGCGUGGGGAGCAAACAGGAUUAGAUACCCUGGUAGUCCACGCCGUAAACGAUGUCUACUAGUUGUCGGUUGUCUUGUACGACUGGUAACGCAGCUAACGCGAUAAGUAGACCGCCUGGGGAGUACGGC
RNAcentral lists this ribosomal RNA (829 nucleotides) under uncultured bacterium. Its description in RNAcentral is "bacterial SSU rRNA". It matches the Rfam family "Bacterial small subunit ribosomal RNA", at positions 66 to 886 of the family's 1533-position model. The record is from RNAcentral.